AACGAACGCUGGCGGCAUGCCUAACACAUGCAAGUCGAACGAGACCUUCGGGUCUAGUGGCGCACGGGUGCGUAACGCGUGGGAACCUGCCCUUAGGUUCGGAAUAACUCCCCGAAAGGGGUGCUAAUACCGGCUAAUGUCUUCGGACCAAAGAUUUAUCGCCUUUGGAUGGGCCCGCGUUGGAUUAGCUAGUUGGUAGGGUAAAAGCCUACCAAGGCGACGAUCCAUAGCUGGUCGGAGAGGAUGAUCAGCCACACUGGGACUGAGACACGGCCCAGACUCCUACGGGAGGCAGCAGUGGGGAAUAGUGGAAAAUGGGCGAAAGCCUGAUCCAGCAAGGCCGCGUGAGUGAUGAAGGCCGGAGGGUUGUAAAGCUCGUUUACCCGGGAGGAUAAUGACAGUACCGGGAGAAUAAGCUCCGGCUAACUCCGUG
RNAcentral lists this ribosomal RNA (433 nucleotides) under uncultured bacterium. Its description in RNAcentral is "partial 16S ribosomal RNA". It matches the Rfam family "Bacterial small subunit ribosomal RNA", at positions 29 to 507 of the family's 1533-position model. The record is from RNAcentral.